UCUCCGUUGGUGAACCAGCGGAGGGAUCAUUAAAGAGUUCUAUAACUCCCAAACCCAUGUGAACAUACCUUACGUUGCCUCGGCAGGUCGCGCCUACCCCGUAACGUCCUACCCUGUAGGACCUACCCGGUAGACGCGGGUGAGCCUGCCGGCGGCCCACGAAACUCUGUUUAAUAUUGAAUUCUGAACCUAAAACUAAAUAAGUUAAAACUUUCAACAACGGAUCUCUUGGUUCUG
Molecule: unclassified non-coding RNA, 237 nt
Filed under: plant metagenome
Description: partial contains small subunit ribosomal RNA, internal transcribed spacer 1, and 5.8S ribosomal RNA
Source: RNAcentral